GAUGAACGCUGGCGGUAUGCUUAACACAUGCAAGUCGAACGGACUCUUCGGAGUUAGUGGCGGACGGGUGAGUAACGCGUGAGAAUCUGGCUUUGGGUUCGGGACAACCACUGGAAACGGUGGCUAAUACCGGAUGUGCCGAGAGGUAAAAGAGAAAUUGCCUGAAGAUGAGCUCGCGUCUGAUUAGCUAGUUGGUGAGGUAAAGGCUCACCAAGGCAGCGAUCAGUAGCUGGUCUGAGAGGAUGACCAGCCACACUGGGACUGAGACACGGCCCAGACUCCUACGGGAGGCAGCAGUGGGGAAUGUUCCGCAAUGGGCGAAAGCCUGACGGAGCAAUACCGCGUGAGGGAAGAAGGCUCUUGGGGUGUAAACCUCUUUUCUUAGGGAAGAACAAAAUGACGGUACCUAAGGAAUCAGCAUCGGCUAACUCCGUG
Molecule: ribosomal RNA, 435 nt
Filed under: uncultured bacterium
Lineage: Bacteria
Description: partial 16S ribosomal RNA
Rfam family: Bacterial small subunit ribosomal RNA
Source: RNAcentral